UGUGGCAAGAGAGCUGGUUGGUCAAUGGA
Molecule: non-coding RNA, 29 nt
Filed under: Homo sapiens (human)
Lineage: Eukaryota; Metazoa; Chordata; Mammalia; Primates; Hominidae
Source: RNAcentral